CGUGCCUAACACAUGCAAGUCGAACGCGAAAGGGGCUUCGGCUCUGAGUAGAGUGGCGAACGGGUGAGUAACACGUGGGUGACCUACCUUCGAAUGGGGGAUAACGUCCCGAAAGGGACGCUAAUACCGCAUAACAUCCUGUCCUUGAAGAGACGGAGAUCAAAGCUGGGGAUCGUAAGACCUGGCGUUUGAAGAGGGGCCCGCGUCCGAUUAGCUAGUUGGUGAGGUAACGGCUCACCAAGGCGACGAUCGGUAGCCGGCCUGAGAGGGCGGACGGCCACACUGGGACUGAGACACGGCCCAGACUUCUACGGGAGGCAGCAGUGGGGAAUUGUUCGCAAUGGGCGCAAGCCUGACGACGCAACGCCGCGUGGAGGAUGAAGGUCUUCGGAUUGUAAACUCCUGUUGCCCGGGACGAAACGCUCUGACCUAACACGUCGGAGCUUGACGGUACCGGGUGAGGAAGCCCCGGCUAACUCUGUGCCAGCAGCCGCGGUAAUACAGA
RNAcentral lists this ribosomal RNA (505 nucleotides) under uncultured soil bacterium. RNAcentral's name for it is "bacterial SSU rRNA". It matches the Rfam family "Bacterial small subunit ribosomal RNA", at positions 43 to 529 of the family's 1533-position model. The record is from RNAcentral.